Molecule: ribosomal RNA, 350 nt
Filed under: uncultured Anoxybacillus sp.
Lineage: Bacteria; Bacillati; Bacillota; Bacilli; Caryophanales; Anoxybacillaceae
Description: bacterial SSU rRNA
Rfam family: Bacterial small subunit ribosomal RNA
Source: RNAcentral
UGACAGGUGGUGCAUGGUUGUCGUCAGCUCGUGUCGUGAGAUGUUGGGUUAAGUCCCGCAACGAGCGCAACCCUCGACCUUAGCUGCCAGCAUUCAGUUGGGCACUCUAAGGUGACUGCCGGCUAAAAGUCGGAGGAAGGUGGGGAUGACGUCAAAUCAUCAUGCCCCUUAUGACCUGGGCUACACACGUGCUACAAUGGGCGGUACAAAGGGUCGCGAACCCGCGAGGGGGGAGCCAAUCCCAAAAAGCCGCUCUCAGUUCGGAUUGCAGGCUGCAACUCGCCUACAUGAAGUCGGAAUCGCUAGUAAUCGCGGAUCAGCACGCCGCGGUGAAUACGUUCCCGGGCCUU